This 253-nucleotide ribosomal RNA is filed under the name uncultured bacterium. RNAcentral's name for it is "partial 16S ribosomal RNA". It matches the Rfam family "Bacterial small subunit ribosomal RNA", at positions 524 to 776 of the family's 1533-position model. The record is from RNAcentral.
UACGAAGGGGACUAGCGUUGUUCGGAAUUACUGGGCGUAAAGCGCACGUAGGCGGACUUUCAAGUCGGGGGUGAAAUCCCGGGGCUCAACCUCGGAACUGCCUUUGAUACUGUUGGUCUCGAGUCCGGAAGAGGUGGGUGGAAUUCCUAGUGUAGAGGUGAAAUUCGUAGAUAUUAGGAAGAACACCGGUGGCGAAGGCGGCUCACUGGCUCGGUACUGACGCUGAGGCGCGAAAGCGUGGGGAGCAAACAGG